This is a non-coding RNA of Paramuricea clavata, 354 nucleotides long. Lineage: Eukaryota; Metazoa; Cnidaria; Anthozoa; Malacalcyonacea; Plexauridae. The record is from the annotation of a GenBank genome assembly.
CAGGCUUAAAGAUGAAUAACAAUGUUUACAUAUAGCUUAAAGAUGAAUACAAUGUUUACAUACGUAAUGUUAACAAAUUAUCCAUUGUAUUUAUAUUUCUCAUACAUCAUUUAUAGAUAUUCAUAGCAUUUCGGCCAAUGACAUGGUUUAAUGUACAUCACGUGUAUCUGGAUACCCCGUCUAGACCACGUCUAAAACACUAACUCGGAUUUGAAAUAUUACUUCUCACAACCUCGUCCCCAGGGCUCAAAAGGCCCUGGGGACGAGGUUGUAUUUCUCAGUGCUUGGUAACCAAGCCUUAAUGUGAUCCCAAAAACAUUUUCUGCCGGCUAGACAAUAUGGCUUUUAUCUUUG